Molecule: ribosomal RNA, 253 nt
Filed under: uncultured bacterium
Lineage: Bacteria
Description: partial 16S ribosomal RNA
Rfam family: Bacterial small subunit ribosomal RNA
Source: RNAcentral
UACGGAGGGUGCAAGCGUUAUUCGGAUUUACUGGGUUUAAAGGGUGCGUAGGCGGCUUUGUAAGUCUGAGGUGAAAUCUCCGAGCUUAACUCGGAAACUGCCUUGGAUACUAUAAGUCUUGAAUGACGUUGAGGUUAGCGGAAUAUGUCAUGUAGCGGUGAAAUGCGUAGAUAUGACAAAGAACAUCUAUUGCGAAGGCAGCUAACUAGGCGGAUAUUGACGCUGAUGCACGAAAGCGUGGGGAUCAAACAGG